Molecule: ribosomal RNA, 450 nt
Filed under: uncultured bacterium
Lineage: Bacteria
Description: partial 16S ribosomal RNA
Rfam family: Bacterial small subunit ribosomal RNA
Source: RNAcentral
CCUACGGGUGGCUGCAGUGAGGAAUAUUGGACAAUGGAUGGAAAUCUGAUCCAGCCAUGCCGCGUGCAGGAAGACGGCCCUAUGGGUUGUAAACUGCUUUUGUGUGGGAGCAAUAAGGUCUAUGCGUAGACUGAUGAGAGUACCAUACGAAUAAGCAUCGGCUAACUCCGUGCCAGCAGCCGCGGUAAUACGGGGGAUGCAAGCGUUAUCGGGAUUUAUUGGGUUUAAAGGGGUUUUAGAAGGUUGGAGAGAAAUAUUUCAGCUUAACUGAAAGGGGGCCGUUGAUACUGUCAGGCUUGAAUAUGGUUGCUGUGGGUGGAAUGUGUGGUGUAGCGGUGAAAUGCUUAGAUAUCACACAGAAUAUCGAUUGCGAAGGCAGCUCACAAAGCCAUUAUUGACGCUGAUGCACGAAAGUGUGGGGAUCAAACAGGAUUAGAUACCCCAGUAGUC